RNAcentral lists this transfer RNA (799 nucleotides) under uncultured cyanobacterium. Its description in RNAcentral is "partial 16S-23S ribosomal RNA intergenic spacer". The stretch from base 158 to 231 matches the Rfam family "tRNA". The record is from RNAcentral. Lineage: Bacteria; Bacillati; Cyanobacteriota.
CAGGGAGACAAAAAAUGAUUGUGAUGUCUGAGUAUUUAAUUCUUAGGCCAUAAUCCUGUCACCUUAGGUCGAUCGGUACCUCAGAUAUAUGGAGUAUUUUAUUUCAUAAAUUUCAGUUCCUAAACUUGUCUAGGUCACACCCAUCAAGGUUUCUCCUGGGCCAUUAGCUCAGGUGGUUAGAGCGCACCCCUGAUAAGGGUGAGGUCCCUGGUUCAAGUCCAGGAUGGCCCAUUCGUUGUUGGGGGUAUAGCUCAGUUGGUGGAGCGCCUGCUUUGCAAGCAGGAUGUCAGCGGUUCGAGUCCGCUAACCUCCACUGACUGAUCUCCUACAACGAGCCAAUGGUGAGAAUCGUUGUGUGAUGUGAUUUAGAAUUUAAGUUUGCUGGAAGACCCUAGCUUCUUAUCAUUCCAGGCCUCAAUCAAUUGAGAUUAGGUUGAUAGGACGCUGGGCUCACUGUAAUUCGCAAGAAUUGCAGAGAUGUUCAGCAGAACCUUGACAACUGCAUAGGUAAGUCUGGAAAGAAUAAAGCAUCUCAUGGAUGCAUGAUUCUUGGGAAUCAGCUGAUGCAAUCUGCGCGAGUAGAGAGCUGAAGUUGAUGAACGAGAAUGAUGUUUGAUUCUUGAGUCAAGAGCCGAGACUCUAUAGCGUUCUUUCGAUGUCAUCGAGGCAUCGAGAGUUUGAUUGGUCAUUCAAACCAUCUUCAAUGACAAACAUUCAGUUUAACUGGAUAAGUUUGAGAUUGAAGCCAGGUGAAUUGCUAGAAUACGUAUUCACUACGUGAAGCGUAUAGAGAUUAAUU